UUUAUUAGAUACACUACACGGACCUGUCUAUGGUACAGAUUCUGUAACAAACAUCUCCCGUCAUCCCACCAUCCGAUUUUCUAUUGUUUAGUUUCUCACUCCACAUCCAACCACAUCCAACGGCUGAUGCUGCAGUCUGUACCUUACAGAUUCUGUAAGCUAGUCGAGUCCUACACUUAACAUAUGGAUUUAGAUUUUCUGCGAUUUUUUUUUGUUUUAUUUUUAUCUUCGAUCUCAUGGUUUACGUGUUCAAAAGUUUGAAGAAAAG
RNAcentral lists this long non-coding RNA (268 nucleotides) under Citrus maxima (pomelo). Its description in RNAcentral is "long non-coding RNA (CMAX_LNC001126)". Lineage: Eukaryota; Viridiplantae; Streptophyta; Magnoliopsida; Sapindales; Rutaceae. The record is from RNAcentral.